RNAcentral lists this ribosomal RNA (908 nucleotides) under uncultured crenarchaeote. RNAcentral describes it as "bacterial SSU rRNA". It matches the Rfam family "Archaeal small subunit ribosomal RNA", at positions 1 to 915 of the family's 1478-position model. The record is from RNAcentral. Lineage: Archaea; Thermoproteati; Thermoproteota.
UUUCCGGUUGAUCCUGCCGGACCUGACUGCUAUCGGAUUGAUACUAAGCCAUGCGAGUCAUUGUAGCAAUACAAGGCAGACGGCUCAGUAACGCGUAGUCAACCUACCCUAUGGACGGGAAUAACCUCGGGAAACUGAGUAUAAUACCCGAUAGAACAUUAUGCCUGGAAUGGUUUAUGUUCCAAAUGAUUUAUCGCCGUAGGAUGGGACUGCGGCCUAUCAGUUUGUUGGUGAGGUAAUGGCCCACCAAGACUAUUACAGGUACGGGCUCUGANAGGAGUGGCCCGGAGAUGGGUACUGANACACGGACCCANGCCCUAUGGGGCGCAGCAGGCGAGAAAACUUUGCAAUGUGCGAAAGCACGACAAGGUUAAUCCGANUGGUUUCUGCUAAAGGAACCUUUUGUUAGUCCUAGAAACACUAACGAAUAAUGGGUGGGCAAGUUCUGGUGUCGGCCGCCGCGGUAAAACCAGCACCUCAAGUGGUCAGGAUGAUUAUUGGGCCUAAAGCAUCCGUAGCCUGCUCUGUAAGUUUUCGGUUAAAUCUGUAUGCUCAACAUACAGGCCGCCGGGAAUACUGCAGAGCUAGGGAGUGGGAGAGGUAGACGGUACUUGGGAGGAAGUGGUAAAAUGCUUUGAUCUCUCGAUGACCACCUGUGGCGAAGGCGGUCUACCAGAACACGUCCGACGGUGAGGGAUGAAAGCUGGGGGAGCAAACCGGAUUAGAUACCCGGGUAGUCCCAGCCGUAAACUAUGCAAACUCAGUGAUGCAUUGGCUUGUGGUCAAUGCAGUGUUGCAGGGAAGCCGUUAAGUUUGCCGCCUGGGAAGUACGUACGCAAGUAUGAAACUUAAAGGAAUUGGCGGGGGAGCACCACAAGGGGUGAAGCCUGCGGUUCAAUUGGAUUCAA